UGGGGAAUAUUGGACAAUGGGGGGAACCCUGAUCCAGCCAUGCCGCGUGUGUGAAGAAGGCCUUAUGGUUGUAAAGCACUUUAAGCGAGGAGGAGGGUACUGGUAUUAAUACUACCAGGUACUGGACGUUACUCGCAGAAUAAGCACUGGCUAACUCUGUGCCAGCAGCCGCGGUAAUACAGAGGGUGCGAGCGUUAAUCGGAUUUACUGGGCGUAAAGCGUGCGUAGGCGGCUAAUUGAGUCGGAUGUGAAAUCCCCGAGCUUAACUUGGGAAUUGCAGUCGAUACUGGUUAGCUAGGGUGUGGGAGAGGAUGGUAGAAUUCCAGGUGUAGCGGUGAAAUGCGUAGAGAUCUGGAGGAAUACCGAUGGCGAAGGCAGCCAUCUGGCCUAACACUGACGCUGAGGUACGAAAGCAUGGGGAGCAAACAGG
This 430-nucleotide ribosomal RNA is filed under the name Pseudomonadota bacterium. RNAcentral's name for it is "Proteobacteria bacterium partial 16S ribosomal RNA". It matches the Rfam family "Bacterial small subunit ribosomal RNA", at positions 355 to 776 of the family's 1533-position model. The record is from RNAcentral. Lineage: Bacteria; Pseudomonadati; Pseudomonadota.